RNAcentral lists this transfer RNA (75 nucleotides) under bacterium. RNAcentral describes it as "tRNA-Val". It matches the Rfam family "tRNA". Rfam says of the family: Transfer RNA (tRNA) molecules are approximately 80 nucleotides in length. Their secondary structure includes four short double-helical elements and three loops (D, anti-codon, and T loops). Further hydrogen bonds mediate the characteristic L-shaped molecular structure. tRNAs have two regions of fundamental functional importance: the anti-codon, which is responsible for specific mRNA codon recognition, and the 3' end, to which the tRNAs corresponding amino acid is attached (by aminoacyl-tRNA synthetases). tRNAs cope with the degeneracy of the genetic code in two manners: having more than one tRNA (with a specific anti-codon) for a particular amino acid; and 'wobble' base-pairing, i.e. permitting non-standard base-pairing at the 3rd anti-codon position. RNAcentral also lists the same sequence under 1 other name. The record is from RNAcentral.
GGGCGCUUAGCUCAGUCGGUUCAGAGCGCUUCCCUUACAAGGAAGAGGUCGGCGGUUCGAGUCCGCCAGUGCCCA